AUUGAACGCUGGCGGCAGGCCUAACACAUGCAAGUCGAGCGGAUGAAGGGAGCUUGCUCCUGGAUUCAGCGGCGGACGGGUGAGUAAUGCCUAGGAAUCUGCCUUGUAGUUGGGGAUAACGUCCGGAAACGGGCGCUAAUACCGCAUACGUCCUGAGGGAGAAAGUGGGGGAUCUUCGGACCUCACGCUAUCAGAUGAGCCUAGGUCGGAUUAGCUAGUUGGUGGGGUAAAGGCCUACCAAGGCGACGAUCCGUAACUGGUCUGAGAGGAUGAUCAGUCACACUGGAACUGAGACACGGUCCAGACUCCUACGGGAGGCAGCAGUGGGGAAUAUUGGACAAUGGGCGAAAGCCUGAUCCAGCCAUGCCGCGUAUGUGAAGAAGGUCUUCGGAUUGUAAAGCACUUUAAGUUGGGAGGAAGGGCAGUAAGUUAAUACCUUGCUGUUUUGACGUUACCAACAGAAUAAGCACCGGCUAACUUCGUG
RNAcentral lists this ribosomal RNA (484 nucleotides) under uncultured bacterium. RNAcentral describes it as "partial 16S ribosomal RNA". It matches the Rfam family "Bacterial small subunit ribosomal RNA", at positions 30 to 507 of the family's 1533-position model. The record is from RNAcentral.